CAGCCGCCACGGGAAUACGAAGGGGGCUAGCGUUGCUCGGAAUGACUGGGCGUAAAGGGCGCGUAGGCGGCGAUCAAAGUCAGGCGUGAAAUUCCUGGGCUCAACCUGGGGGCUGCGUUUGAUACUUGAUUGCUAGAGUGGGGAAGAGGGUCGUGGAAUUCCCAGUGUAGAGGUGAAAUUCGUAGAUAUUGGGAAGAACACCGGUGGCAAAGGCGGCGACCUGGUCCUUGACUGACGCUGAGGCGCGAAAGCGUGGGGAGCAAACAGGAUUAGAUACCCCCGUAGUCCCUGUCUCUUAUAC
This 301-nucleotide ribosomal RNA is filed under the name uncultured bacterium. RNAcentral describes it as "partial 16S ribosomal RNA". It matches the Rfam family "Bacterial small subunit ribosomal RNA", at positions 509 to 807 of the family's 1533-position model. The record is from RNAcentral.